GACGAACGCUGGCGGCGUGCUUAACACAUGCAAGUCGAACGGACAGGCCCUGCUUUUGUGGGGUGCUCGAGUGGCGAACGGGUGAGUAACACGUGAGUAACCUGCCCUUGACUUUGGGAUAACUUCAGGAAACUGGGGCUAAUACCGGAUAGGAGCUCCUGCUGCAUGGUGGGGGUUGGAAAGUUUCGGCGGUUGGGGAUGGACUCGCGGCUUAUCAGCUUGUUGGUGGGGUAGUGGCUUACCAAGGCUUUGACGGGUAGCCGGCCUGAGAGGGUGACCGGCCACACUGGGACUGAGAGACGGCCGAGACUGCUACGGGAGGGAGCAGUGGGGAAGAUUGCACAAUGGGCGGGAGCCUGAUGCAGCAACGCCGCGUGCGGGAUAACGGCCUUCGGGUUGUAAACCGCUUUCGCCUGUGACGAAGCGUGAGUGACGGGAAUGGGUACAGAAGCACCGGCUAAAUACGUG
This 468-nucleotide ribosomal RNA is filed under the name uncultured bacterium. RNAcentral's name for it is "partial 16S ribosomal RNA". It matches the Rfam family "Bacterial small subunit ribosomal RNA", at positions 28 to 507 of the family's 1533-position model. The record is from RNAcentral.